This 2075-nucleotide long non-coding RNA is filed under the name Medicago truncatula (barrel medic). RNAcentral describes it as "lncRNA gene37564". Lineage: Eukaryota; Viridiplantae; Streptophyta; Magnoliopsida; Fabales; Fabaceae. The record is from RNAcentral.
AUUAUUAUAUUCAAGAUGUGGGGGUUAAAUACUUAAUAAACCUUUACUACAAAUCUAGUGACCCAACUCUCCUGCAGUCAUCAUUCCCUGCAUUCACACAUCCGAUACAUUAAUGCUCGUUUUAUCAAGAUCAGACGAUUCAAAUUUAAAAUAAAAUGGCCAUCAAUAUCCGAUCAAGAUAAGAGGACCACCAAUGUCCUCGGACGCGUGAAUGCCGGGUCUUCCGACUCCGGAGUCCAAAUCUAGCACUUAUCGUUUGAGAAUCCCACUAAAUUAUUAGCAAGAUUAAAAGUAACACGAGUCCCUUGUUGUUGAACAUUUCCAAUAAUAGACAAAGAAGAACUCGUCGGAGCAAAAGCAAAGCAAAACUUUCCGGCAGAAUCCACCGCAAUCAAGUAAUUCUUCGCCGGCAAACUCCAAACCUUAUUCUCACCAAAAUGAAAAGCCACAGUUGGAACCCUAACACUUUGUAAAUUAGACAAAUCAUAACAAGUAUCAAACAAAGCAAAAUUAUCAGCAGAACGUAAAUUCUGAGUCAUUCUUUUAAACUCGUCGCGAACCGAGUUAUAAAGUUGACUCUGUAACCGCGUUAUCGCGGUUCCAGAGUCAACAAUAAUCCCACCACUUCCAGAACCAUCUCCCGCCGCCGCCGGAACAGAAACCAUCUGCCCACCAACACUAAUACCAGUGAGCUGAACAUAAUAAAACGUAUUAACUCUUUGAUUCUUUAACAUCGGAGCAAGUACUGAAUCAGCGGGUUGAACCGAGUUAAACUCAAGAGUUGACGAUUUUCCCGAGUCACGGUCAACUAAACAGUAAGAAAACGAUGAAGCUUUGAUCUGCGAAAUUAAAGAUUGCGACCCACCACCAAGUCCGAGUAAACCAGCUGCACCAACGAAUAAACCUUCGUUAUCGUGGCCACAACCGAUAGCAACACGGUUCACUGACCCGGAGUUUCCAAAAGAGACUGUUUCAGUGCUAUAUUCUCCAACAGUGAAUGAGCCAUCACCGUAAGAAACUUGGUAUUGACAUUUACCAUCACGACAACCAGAAAGUUCGAGUGAUUGACAUUGUUCUGCUUCACAGGUCAUGGGUUGAUAGGUUGAUGAUGAAGUUGGGUCGUAUAUUGGGUCAGUUUGUUGGUAACAUUCUGUGCAUGGUUUGCAUUGGAUCCAGUUAACGUCACUACCUGUGUCAAGAACCAUGUAGUAGGGUUUUGGUGGUUGACCUAUGCCUAGUCUGGAGAAAUACUCACCGGAGCCGGAGCCAGAACCGGAGGAAACUGGUGUGGAGAGAUCUUCUUGUUGAAGCUCGGUUUGAACCGGGUGGAGAUCGGUUUUCUUGAGGUUGUUUAGAGAAAGUUCGAGUUUUGUAGUUAGUGAGUCAACUCGGGCUGAGUCACGAGUGAGUCUAGCUUGCAUAAGUUUUGUAUAGUCUUUAUGGUUUUCAUUGAGAAGAUUCUCUCUUGGAUGUAUGAGAAUUGAGAAAGAUGAAGAGUUUGAAAAAACGGGUUUUUGGUUUAGGGUUUCUUCAACAAGAUUAAUGUUAUUAGGGUUAAAGUUAAGGACUUGUUUGGUUUGGUGAAUUGAGGAAGAGAUAUCAAGAAGGGAGGUGUGUGAAGUAAUGAUGCGAGAUGAGGAAGUUGGAAAUGGAAGAAGAGAGAUUGUUGUAAUGAGAAGUGAUAAGUUGAAGUAUAGAAGUGCUUUUUUGGAAGCCAUUUUUUUGGUUAUGAGUGAGGGAGUGUGGAGUUGAGUGCUUGAUUUAUUGGUUUGAAAAAUAGAGAGAGAAAGUGAUUGGAUCUGUUGAGUUUGUUGGUUGGUAGAUGAAGGUGUUAAAGUGAGGAAAAAGGAGUUUGGUAAAUAGUGGUAAUGUAGCUAAUUUUGGAAUGGUAAAAAGUAGAGGACUAGUUUAAUGCUUUGUGAAAAAAUAGAAGAUUAAUUGAUUGGUAAUUUUGUUUUUAUCUGCAGAGGGAUUUAAUAGUUUUGAACAGACACGUCGAUGAAACAUAAAUGGAUUUUAUAGUUUUGAAAAUUAAUUUUUGCUUUGGUUGUUUAGGUCGAGAAACUAUAUAAUAU